UUGGAGCUGAGCAUCCAGGAGAAGCUAGAAAAGACUGGGAGAAGGACAGAAGGUAAAAAGUAAAGGAGGAAGACUGAGAAGGAAGACUUGGAGAGAAAAUAUGGAGCAGAGAUAUGUGAUGAAUCUGUGUUUGCUUCUUGGCCUUGGACUUGAACCAGGGACAUGAAAGGAGACACUUGAAAAAAACAGAGACAUAGAAUCAUGAAAUACUGCAGAAAAAACAUUGCCGCAACAGGGAAUGAAGAAUUUGGGGUCUCAUAGAAAGUCUGAGACUCCUGAGUACAGGAUACACAGGAAAGUAAAGCAUCAAGUGAUAAUGAUUGAAAUAAGAAAAAUACCUUGAUGGACCUCGUUUAGCAGAAAAGGUAACUUCUUAUUCAUACUUCCACCAUGUCCAAGGUGUGGUUUAUAAAGAGGAGAUAAAACAAUGAAAAAACUAAAAUUUUCUGUACAAGUGGGAAGUUGUAACAUUUUUGAGAACAAGUCAGGAGAAAAGAGAG
Molecule: long non-coding RNA, 500 nt
Organism: Talpa occidentalis (Iberian mole)
Lineage: Eukaryota; Metazoa; Chordata; Mammalia; Eulipotyphla; Talpidae
Exons: 3
Source: RefSeq, a predicted model, not a curated record